GGAUGUGAAGGGGAUCUGGCUAUGACAUCUGUAUCCCCACUGAUCGCCAGGGUUGAUUCGGCUGAUACAGCUGGCUAGGUGGGUGCUCCCUUCCUCCCUCCCUGCUCCAUGUGCGCCCCUCCCAAAGCUGCACGUUUGUGCUCCUUGGAAGGGGACGACUUUCCCGAUAGAGAAGAGGACCAUUCUUCCGUCAAGGGUAUACGAGCAGCUAUGCUCCCUUGCUAGAACCUCCAAAUAAGCUCUCAAGGGUCAUUUGUAGGAGAUCACAGGGUGGUUAAGACUCCAGACACAUCCAAAUGGGGGGAGGGGGUGCAAGUUAAAAUUAGAUAUCAUUUUUU
Unclassified non-coding RNA from Myotis lucifugus (little brown bat), 338 nucleotides. Its record names the gene 7SK. It matches the Rfam family "7SK RNA". Rfam says of the family: 7SK was discovered as an abundant small nuclear RNA in the mid-70s but a possible function has only recently been suggested. The record is from Ensembl. NCBI's taxonomy places the organism in Eukaryota, Metazoa, Chordata, Mammalia, Chiroptera, Vespertilionidae.